UGCCCUGCCACUUGGCAAAAUAUAAAAAUUAUUUGAACUGUUUUGGUAAAUCCUGCAAAGGAAGUUGAAGAAUCAGUUUGAAGUGCAUACAA
RNAcentral lists this non-coding RNA (92 nucleotides) under unclassified sequences. RNAcentral's name for it is "RT-17 RNA". It matches the Rfam family "RT-17 RNA". From Rfam's summary of the family: Bacteroidales (Bacteroidetes), Clostridiales (Firmicutes). Nearby to self- splicing intron genes The record is from Rfam by way of RNAcentral.